Molecule: ribosomal RNA, 551 nt
Filed under: Microhyla fissipes (ornate chorus frog)
Lineage: Eukaryota; Metazoa; Chordata; Amphibia; Anura; Microhylidae
Description: partial 16S ribosomal RNA
Rfam family: Bacterial large subunit ribosomal RNA
Source: RNAcentral
CGCCUCCUGAUUACCCAUAGGAGGUCCAGCCUGCCCAGUGACUAAGUUAAACGGCCGCGGUACCCUAACCGUGCAAAGGUAGCGCAAUCACUUGUUCUUUAAAUGAGGACUAGUAUGAACGGCAUCACGAGGGUUAUGCUGUCUCCCUACUCUACUCAGUGAAACUGAUCUCCCCGUGAAGAAGCGGGGAUAAAGAUAUAAGACGAGAAGACCCCAUGGAGCUUUAAACUCAGUGCCAACUGCCCUAAUAAUAGCCUAUUACCUUUGCAGCCAUGAUUACUAGUUUUCGGUUGGGGUGACCACGGAGUAAAAUUUAACCUCCACGAUGAAAGGAACUAAUAUCCUAACCUAUGAGCUACAGCUCUAAGUAUCAACAAAUUGACUAAUUGACCCAAUUACUUGAUCAACGAACCAAGUUACCCUGGGGAUAACAGCGCAAUCCAUUUCAAGAGCUCAUAUCGACAAAUGGGUUUACGACCUCGAUGUUGGAUCAGGGUAUCCCAGUGGCGCAGCCGCUACUAAUGGUUCGUUUGUUCAACGAUUAAAACCCU